GUCUGGCCCAAGUCAGGUUGAGCCAGAAGCUCCAGCCUUCACAAUUCUCCAUAAUGGGAAAGACAGCUGAGAAUUGGGGAAUUGCUCCAAACUACUAUGUCUUCUGCAGAAAUCCAGAGCUGAUUCUCUGGCAAGUCCUGUCCUCUAUUCCCUCUCUUCAUGUGCUUAGAGACCAGUUAGUUCCAGGACAUGUUCCUGCUCCAUGAGCAAGAACUUCAGAAGACACAGGGCUAUAUUAUAACCUCUCAAAUUGCAUAUUGGAUCCAGCUACUCUCUACUCAAGAAGACCCUAGGGUUACUGUGACCAAGGACCCAAGCCUUCACCUGAAGAGCUGACACUUCAUAAGUGAAGCAGGGCUGAGGUGUCUUUUUCUCUCUCUGUCAAAAAAGAAGGAAAGAAAGAUAAAAAGAAAAGGAAGAAGAACACAACAAGUACCACCUUGGUAUGCUUCACUUCAGACUGUGUCCAGAGACAUUAGGCAUGGAAUAUCAACGCUUCACCCGCAUUACUCUGCCACCAGGUUCCAGAUGCUAGCAUGAUGCCAACCAGACUUCCCUGGACAGACAACUCCACCAAUAUGUCCUGGAGCUCUGAUUCCCCAGAACCCCUCCCCUAGUAGGGAAAGAGAGAGACAGGCUGGGAGUACGAACUGACCUGUCAAUGCCCAUGUUCAGCAGGGAAGCAAUUACAGAAGCCAGACCUUCCACCUUCUGUAUCCCACAAUGACUUUGGGUCCAUACUUCCAGAAGGUUAAAGAACAGGAAAGCUAUCAAGGGAGGGGAGGGGAUAUGGACUUCUGGUGGUGGGAAUUGUGUGGAGUUGUACCCCUAUUAUCCUAUGGUUUUGUCAGUGUUUCCUUUUAAUAAAUUAAAAAAAGAAGAAGAAGAAGUAAAGAAAAAAGAAAAAAAAGUGGGGCUGGGUGGUAGUUCACCCAGUUGAGCACAUACGUUAUCUCGUGCAAGGACCCAAGUUCAAGCCCCUGCACCCCAUAUGCAGGGGAGGAAACUUUAUAAGAGGUGAAGAAGUGCUGCAUGUGUCUCUCUGUCUCCAUCUGUAUCUCCUCCACCCCUUUCAAUUUUUCUGUUCUGGCACAGAGAAAAACAAAACAAAACGAGAACAAAAAGCAAAGAAAGGGAAAUAAUGCCCCUAGGAGUGGUGAAUCUGUGGUGUAGGCAGUAAGCUCCAAUAAUAACCCCAGCAUCAAUAAACAUCAAUAAAAGUAUAACAAUAUGGGUGGGAGGUAGAUAGCAUAAUGAUUAUGCAAAGAGACUUUCCUGCCUAAGGCUCGGAAAUCCCAGGUUCAAUCCCUCGCACCACCAUAAACCAGAGAUGAUCAGUGCUCUUGUCAAAAAAUAAAAAUAUAAACAAACAAACAAAUUAAAUGUUAAGAAAAACAAACCGACAGUAGUUUGGGAUGUGGCACAACGGCUAGAGCACUGGACUCUUGAGUAUGAGGUCCUGAAUUCUAUCCCUGACAGCACAUGUACCAAAGUGAUGUCUAGUUCUUUCUCUCUCUCUCUCCUAUCUUUCAAAUAAAUAAAUAAAUAAAUAAAAUAUUUUUUAAAAACUGACAUACCCAGGCACUGCGUACAAAAUACAUGCAGUGCUUUUGUU
This is a long non-coding RNA of Erinaceus europaeus (western European hedgehog), 1615 nucleotides long. RefSeq lists it as uncharacterized. Lineage: Eukaryota; Metazoa; Chordata; Mammalia; Eulipotyphla; Erinaceidae. The transcript has 3 exons. The record is from RefSeq and is a predicted model, not a curated record.